Molecule: ribosomal RNA, 484 nt
Filed under: uncultured bacterium
Lineage: Bacteria
Description: partial 16S ribosomal RNA
Rfam family: Bacterial small subunit ribosomal RNA
Source: RNAcentral
AUUGAACGCUGGCGGCAGGCCUAACACAUGCAAGUCGAGCGGAUGAGAGGAGCUUGCUCCUUGAUUUAGCGGCGGACGGGUGAGUAAUGCCUAGGAAUCUGCCUGGUAGUGGGGGAUAACGUUCCGAAAGGAACGCUAAUACCGCAUACGUCCUACGGGAGAAAGCAGGGGACCUUCGGGCCUUGCGCUAUCAGAUGAGCCUAGGUCGGAUUAGCUAGUUGGUGAGGUAAUGGCUCACCAAGGCGACGAUCCGUAACUGGUCUGAGAGGAUGAUCAGUCACACUGGAACUGAGACACGGUCCAGACUCCUACGGGAGGCAGCAGUGGGGAAUAUUGGACAAUGGGCGAAAGCCUGAUCCAGCCAUGCCGCGUGUGUGAACAAGGUCUUCGGAUUGUAAAGCACUUUAAGUUGGGAGGAAGGGCAGUAAGCUAAUACCUUGCUGUUUUGACGUUACCGACAGAAUAAGCACCGGCUAACUUCGUG